RNAcentral lists this ribosomal RNA (209 nucleotides) under Theileria sp. BCS-2013oo. Its description in RNAcentral is "partial 18S ribosomal RNA". It matches the Rfam family "Eukaryotic small subunit ribosomal RNA", at positions 1310 to 1534 of the family's 1831-position model. Lineage: Eukaryota; Apicomplexa; Aconoidasida; Piroplasmida; Theileriidae. The record is from RNAcentral.
UUUGUCUGGUUAUUCCGUUAACGAACGAGACCUUACCUGCUAAAUAGCUCACGGGAAUAGGUUAAGACCGUCCCCUGGAUGCUUCUUAGAGGGACUUUGCGGUUAUAAAUCGCAAGGAGGUUUAAGGCAAUAACAGGUCUGUGAUGCCCUUAGAUGUCCUGGGCUGCACGCGCGCUACACUGAUGCGUUCAUCGAGUUUAACCUUGGUC